Long non-coding RNA from Stomoxys calcitrans (stable fly), 745 nucleotides. RefSeq lists it as uncharacterized. NCBI's taxonomy places the organism in Eukaryota, Metazoa, Arthropoda, Insecta, Diptera, Muscidae. The transcript has 2 exons. The record is from RefSeq and is a predicted model, not a curated record.
UGCGUGUAAAUAAGGAAAUCGAUGAUGACAUUUGGGUUAGUUUAACAGUGGCACGGCAUUAUCGGCCAAUGUUGCCACUCAUUACUACUCGUAGUAAGUUGUUGGUAGUUAGUGGGAUCCGUAGAGUACAGUUGAUAAUGACGUGUGGUAUGUUGAUUCAUUCAUAAAUUCUAUGCGGUUAUGAGAGAGAAUUAUUUAAAACCGAGGCGAAUAAUUGGAAAAGGCCAGAUAUAACAACGAUGAAGAGAAUAUUAAAUAGAAAUAUCGGAUAGCGUCCAAUAUGUCGGCCCUGGAAAAAUCGCCAUUGUUUCAACUCUGGCCUAUAAAAGGGCAUAGCAAGGGGAAAAACGGCAUUAGUUGUGAAAAGAGUGGUGCUGAGCAGGCACAGAUUAAUAGUGAUCUUAAAUCGGGUGGUAUUUGUUUUUAAGGAUAGAGUCUAACGUCGAUUUUUAUUUAAAUAAUUAAAGCCCCUGUGAAUGCAAAAGGUAAAUUUAUUGGGUUUAGUUUUUUUUGUGUGCCCAAUAUGAAAAUUUUCCCAGUUUUCAGGAGGCGAAGGAAUAAAUCUAGUGGAAAGGUUAUCCAGGAAAACAUUGGAAGUGAUUCCUACAUCAUAGUAGCCCCAGAAUACACGCCGUAACCAGCGUUGGUUGCAGAAUUAAGGUAGAAGCGUUCCAUUUAAUUUUUCCAAAAUUUAAUGUGGCCGAGAAUUUGAAUAAAAGGAGUAUUAAAGUCCGUCCUUCGGAGA